GGGGGGGGGGGCGGGGAGAGCCACAAAUGCCCCAGGCGGUCUGGCCCAUUGGUUGGGAGCACUUGGCCAGAGUCGGGAUACUUCGGUGAAGGAAGGGCAAAUCCACCCAGCUCCCCUGAGCCAGAGCCUCCUUCCUACCCUGAGAAAAGACAGGGAUUCUCCCAGUUUGAUCGCAAUGAUGUUUAAAGCAUCAAAGAACGAAAAAGAAAAAUGGACGUUGUGCGUCUGGCUGAGGGGAAGGGCCGAAGGGAGGCCUUGGGGACAGUGGAGGUGGGGUGUGUGUGUGUGUGUGUGUGUGUGUGUGUGUAGAAAUAUCAGAAUAUGCGCUUGUGUUCUCCACGAAGUACGGGGAGCGUUUUAGGCCCAGAGAUCUAUGUGCUGUGGGGGGUCCAUUGGUGUGGGAAACCCGUCGAACCCUACGGAGAGGUUUGCGGUGUCCUCUCAGUUGGCGGGGGCAGCUAAAUCUCCCUGAAAAUUCCCGGGUUCUGUCGGACAAGGGCGCAUUUCUGAGCGGUGGGGCGUGGGAGGGCUUUUCCCUUUACUGCGGCUGGGAGCAGACAGCUCUCGCUUCUCCUUUGCCCUUUAGUCUAAUAACUUCGCAGAAAUGCAGGACCAAUAAACCACGAGUUGGAAAUGGACAGUGUUAAAUAAACAAGGGUCUCUUUAAAAUUCCCAUCCACUUCAGAUGUCUAAAGUAAGAUUGUGAUGAUUUUGUCACGGUUUGGUAAAUUUACCCCUUUAAGAGGCUUUCAUAAAUCCCAGAACACACCUUCAGCCAGAUUUGAAUAUAGAUUUAGGUUUUAAAACCCAGAAGCUGGAAACGCCGCUUUAUCAAAGAGAAUUUCCCUUUAGCUUAGCAAUGUGCUGAAGCUCUUAAAAGAUUGGAUCUGAGAGAGAGAGAGACAGAGAGAGAGAGAGACAGAGAGAGACAGAGAGGAGAAAGAGAACUAGAGACACAGGCAGACGGGGGGGAAAAAGACUUUCUUUUUCUUUCUAGAGGAAUUCUGCCCAGACUCUGCAGCAGUUGGUAGCAAGAAAGCUUUCUCCUGGGUGUCUCCUGGAAAAGUUGCAAAAUUGCUCUUCACCUGUAAGAACAUGCUCUUUAUCUUCCAGUCUCUUCUUGUCAAUUUGGAAAUUGCAGACAGCCCGGCUCAGACACAGGAAACAAGAUAACGAAGGAGCUUGCUUAUCUCAGAGCCGAUGUUCUGCUCAAGAAACGUCACCAAAAGAAAAGAAAAAAAAGGAAGAAAGAAAAUGAAGAGAGGAGGCCGAAACCCAGGACCAACCUUCUUUCACAGGAGAAUGAAAAGAUGUCUGGACUUAAGCUGUUUACCAACUGGGCCAAAGCUGCAGAGCGGCAAAACUGAAGAAAAGCCCCAAGCAACUGCGGGAACAAGCUUUUACAAUGCGAGCGGCCAUUUUCAAAAAGAAGACUCGUGCUCUGAGAGAAGACCCCCAGUGGAGACAGACUCACCUCGGGCUCUGGCUCCAAUUAUUGAACUUCCCACACCACCGGUGCUUGAGUGUUCUUGGCGACGGCCAAGUUGAUCCGGCUGGGCCACAGGAAGCUAUUGGGAGGUCUUGAGGAAGGGAGUGACGUCACUUGAUUUACAUUUUUGAGAGCUCACUCUACUGCAGUGUGGAGAAGAUUGUUGGAAGGCAAGAGAAACCAGAAGAUCGACUGGGACACUGGAGAAACCCAAGCAAAAGGUGAAGAUGCUGGUAGCUGUGGAGGCAGAAGGAAGUUACCAGAUUCAGUGUGGUUUGAAGCUCCUUUGGCUUAUACAGGGGCAAAAUGUGGAUCACGAGUUAAUGGGGCCUACCAGAAAAACAGCAGAGACGGAGACUUUCUAAAAUGGAGUCUCUUCAAUGGCAAUCCAGGAGGAACCCCAUUCUUCAACCAUAACAAUGAAUCACACCUCAUUCCACUCAUAGUUCCCCAAGGCUCUGAUCCUCUGGAACAUAAUUUGAGACACACAGCUCUAUUGAGCACAGACAUUGAUUCACCAGCAAACAUUUGUGUGGAGCCUCCCGGAGCCAGGCGCUGUGCUGGUGAUGGGAAUAUAAAGGUAAGGAAGACAGGCAAGGCUCUUGUUUUUCAUGGCACUUCCUUUCUGGUGUGGGGAGACAGACAAUCAACCAGUUAGCAAGUCCACAGACAGACCCAAGGUAUCAUAUGGUCGUAAAUACUGCAAAGAAUAUAAAACAGGGUGAUGUGUUGGAAAACUUCACUGACCGGACGUUAAAUGUCCUAUUCAGAAGCCGAUUCCAAAUUAGCUAUAAAUCAUCUAAAAACAAUGAAAUAUGACAUUCACCAAAAAGAAGUUCACCUUCUACUACCUUUGCUUUUCCUGCCUCUGACUGUCAUAUUGGUUGGUUCUACUCCAUUAUUUACUUUUAAUAAGCUUGGGAGCUUGGGGGAUAUAAAUCUGGUAAUCACUCAGGUAAUUCACACCUUAUCUUUAUGUUCAAAAAAGAAGAUACCUAUAACUUUUGCAAAAGAAAUUCAUCUAGAUUGGUGCUUGUUGCAAAUUGAACCCCGGGUUUUCAACGAAUAAAGAACAAAUCUGAAAAAACAGAGAAGAAAAACUAUGGAUAUAUCAGACAGCUUUGCGUAACGCCUGUCAUUGUCUUCUCGAGCCCAGUCAAGAUUGGGAGCCAUGUGGGUUAAUAUUUCCACCAACUUCUCUGUCGUAUGUUUGCCAAGUAUCGCCUCUACUCGGGAUACAACACUGAUUUGCAGAGCGUGCAGUUGUGUGAACCCAGGAGGAAGGCAGUGUGAUUCACACAACUUCCCUUCUCUCGACAGGAAAUACAGCAAAGCAUGUCCUGUGUUCCCAUAAAGUUCACCGUCCUAUACGUUCUAUACCUAAAUCGAUUACUGACUAGGAGAAAAGUCAAUGUAUGACAAGAGAUAUUUUCUUUUCACUGAGUAAAAGUUCCAAUGAGUGAAGUGAGUAAUGUUGUUAUAAUCGUCCACAUAAAAGGAGAUAAAGCAGUUGGAGAGAGAGAAAUGCAAACUGUUCCAAGGUCUGAUCUUGACAGUAAAGACUUAAUCAUUUUCAAGCCUUCUUGAUUUUCCUGCCUCUUGCCUACACACUUCUGCCAAUGUUUCAUCUUUAAGAUCUAUUCACAGCCUUCAAAACAGCCUGGGGCAAAUAGCAAGGACGGCCAGAGAAUGUGGUUUUCAGUUACCCUACUAUUUGGGUGACUCCUUAGCUGGGAUAAUGCGAUUUUGAACGGAUUUUAAAUGGUAAUGGUGAUAGGGGAUGGUCAAUAUUUAUUUAUAAGCUUUCUUAGUUGGGAUGCUAUUUCAAUUUUUACAUAUCUCUCAAAUUUUAGAGAAAUACAUUUCCCAACUGAGUUUUUUUAGGUUUAGAAAAUUGACCAUUAUACAAACAUCCUUCACUGAAAUUCAUUGCCAGCAUUUAUAACAACAAUACUAAUGACGAAACUGAUAUUAACUGUGCUGAGAGCUUACCAUAUAUUACCUCAUCUAAUUCUCAUGACAAGCGAUGGAGGAAACUAAGGGUAAGGGAAGUAGAGUAGCCAGCGACUCUUUUUUUUUUAUUAUUUUUUUAAUGUUUAUUUAUUUUUGAGAGAGAGAGAGACAGAGUGUGAGCAGUCAAGGGGCAGAGAGAGA
Long non-coding RNA from Leopardus geoffroyi (Geoffroy's cat), 3643 nucleotides. RefSeq lists it as uncharacterized. The transcript is spliced from 7 exons. NCBI's taxonomy places the organism in Eukaryota, Metazoa, Chordata, Mammalia, Carnivora, Felidae. The record is from RefSeq and is a predicted model, not a curated record.